AGCAGUUAAGAAGAUUCUUCGGAUGAAACUUGAUUGACUGAGCGGCGGACGGGUGAGUAACGCGUGGGUGACAUGCCCCAUACCGGGGGAUAACAGCUGGAAACGGCUGCUAAUACCGCAUAAGCGCACAGAGCUGCAUGGCUCAGUGUGAAAAACUCCGGUGGUAUGGGAUGGGCCCGCGUCUGAUUAGGCAGUUGGCGGGGUAACGGCCCACCAAACCGACGAUCAGUAGCCGGCCUGAGAGGGCGACCGGCCACAUUGGGACUGAGACACGGCCCAAACUCCUACGGGAGGCAGCAGUGGGGAAUAUUGCACAAUGGGGGAAACCCUGAUGCAGCGACGCCGCGUGAGCGAAGAAGUAUUUCGGUAUGUAAAGCUCUAUCAGCAGGGAAGAUAAUGACGGUACCUGACUAAGAAGCCCCGGCUAACUACGUGCCAGCAGCCGCGGUAAUACGUAGGGGGCAAGCGUUAUCCGGAUUUACUGGGUGUAAAGGGAGCGUAGACGGCAAGGCAAGUCUGAUGUGAAAACCCAGGGCUUAACCCUGGGACUGCAUUGGAAACUGUCUGGCUCGAGUGCCGGAGAGGUAAGCGGAAUUCCUAGUGUAGCGGUGAAAUGCGUAGAUAUUAGGAAGAACACCAGUGGCGAAGGCGGCUUACUGGACGGUAACUGACGUUGAGGCUCGAAAGCGUGGGGAGCAAACAGGAUUAG
Molecule: ribosomal RNA, 709 nt
Filed under: uncultured bacterium
Lineage: Bacteria
Description: bacterial SSU rRNA
Rfam family: Bacterial small subunit ribosomal RNA
Source: RNAcentral